This 433-nucleotide ribosomal RNA is filed under the name uncultured bacterium. RNAcentral describes it as "partial 16S ribosomal RNA". It matches the Rfam family "Bacterial small subunit ribosomal RNA", at positions 29 to 507 of the family's 1533-position model. The record is from RNAcentral.
AGCGAACGCUGGCGGCAGGCCUAACACAUGCAAGUCGAACGAACUCUUCGGAGUUAGUGGCGGACGGGUGAGUAACACGUGGGAACGUGCCUUUUGGUUCGGAAUAACUCAGGGAAACUUGUGCUAAUACCGAAUGUGCCCUUCGGGGGAAAGAUUUAUCGCCAUUAGAGCGGCCCGCGUCUGAUUAGCUAGUUGGUGAGGUAACGGCUCACCAAGGCGACGAUCAGUAGCUGGUCUGAGAGGAUGACCAGCCACACUGGGACUGAGACACGGCCCAGACUCCUACGGGAGGCAGCAGUGGGGAAUCUUGCGCAAUGGGCGAAAGCCUGACGCAGCCAUGCCGCGUGAAUGAUGAAGGUCUUAGGAUUGUAAAAUUCUUUCACCGGGGACGAUAAUGACAGUACCCGGAGAAGAAGCCCCGGCUAACUUCGUG